Molecule: long non-coding RNA, 461 nt
Filed under: Vigna radiata
Lineage: Eukaryota; Viridiplantae; Streptophyta; Magnoliopsida; Fabales; Fabaceae
Description: long non-coding RNA (VRAD_LNC013035)
Source: RNAcentral
GUGAAAAUCAAACACAUGCAUACUCCUAUGUCUAGCUAUGCUACAAUGAAAGCAAUUAAAGUUGCCAAGAUCUGGAAAGAGCACCAAGGACUCUUCCAAAUACUUGGACUUUAUAAAAGGCCCUUUACAAACCAGAAAAUAAAACUAACAAAGACAUUGGGCUGACACAAACCCAUCAAAUACAAGGAAAAAAUAAAAAAAUAUUACAAAAUUAUGCUACUGGUCUCUGCUUCAACCCAAGGAUGCUACGGUCUCUGCUCUCGGUCCAUUGUGCCCAAAAUAUUCACAUGCCCAGUUUGCUUCCUGACAGGUUAUGGUCCUUCCUUGCUUGCUUCUGAUUGUAAUUCUGGCAAUCCAAUUUUGCAACACAUAUAACCACAAUCUGAAUUAGUGCUCCUUGUCUACAUAGAUAUCAAGAGGAUGAAAUUUAACAAUAUAAAAGAGUCCUCCCUUUCUUGGUC